This 425-nucleotide ribosomal RNA is filed under the name uncultured bacterium. RNAcentral's name for it is "bacterial SSU rRNA". It matches the Rfam family "Bacterial small subunit ribosomal RNA", at positions 354 to 796 of the family's 1533-position model. The record is from RNAcentral.
GUGGGGAAUAUUGGACAAUGGGCGCAAGCCUGAUCCAGCCAUGCCGCGUGAGUGAUGAAGGCCUUAGGGUUGUAAAGCUCUUUCACCGAUGAAGAUAAUGACGGUAGUCGGAGAAGAAGCCCCGGCUAACUUCGUGCCAGCAGCCGCGGUAAUACGAAGGGGGCUAGCGUUGUUCGGAUUUACUGGGCGUAAAGCGCACGUAGGCGGUUUGUUAAGUCAGGGGUGAAAUCCCGGAGCUCAACUCCGGAACUGCCUUUGAUACUGGCAAGCUAGAGUCCGGAAGAGGUAAGUGGAAUUCCUAGUGUAGAGGUGGAAUUCGUAGAUAUUAGGAAGAACACCAGUGGCGAAGGCGGCUUACUGGUCCGGAACUGACGCUGAGGUGCGAAAGCGUGGGGAGCAAACAGGAUUAGAUACCCGGGUAGUCC